RNAcentral lists this ribosomal RNA (495 nucleotides) under uncultured bacterium. RNAcentral describes it as "partial 16S ribosomal RNA". It matches the Rfam family "Bacterial small subunit ribosomal RNA", at positions 27 to 507 of the family's 1533-position model. The record is from RNAcentral.
GGACGAACGCUGGCGGCGUGCUUAACACAUGCAAGUCGAACGGUGAAGCGCCUUCCUUUUUGGUGGGUGUGGAUGAGUGGCGAACGGGUGAGUAACACGUGAGUAACCUGCCCCCUUCUUCUGGAUAACCGCAUGAAAGUGUGGCUAAUACGGGAUAUUCUGGGUCUGUCGCAUGAUGGGUCUGGGAAAGAUAUUGUUUCGGUGGGGGAUGGGCUCGCGGCCUAUCAGCUUGUUGGUGGGGUGAUGGCCUACCAAGGCGGUGACGGGUAGCCGGCCUGAGAGGGUGGACGGUCACACUGGGACUGAGACACGGCCCAGACUCCUACGGGAGGCAGCAGUGGGGAAUAUUGCACAAUGGGCGCAAGCCUGAUGCAGCGACGCCGCGUGAGGGAUGGAGGCCUUCGGGUUGUGAACCUCUUUCGCCAGUGAAGCAGGCCUGCCUCGUUUGUGGGUGGGUUGACGGUAGCUGGAUAAGAAGCGCCGGCUAACUACGCG